GAUGAACGCUAGCUACAGGCUUAACACAUGCAAGUCGCAGGGUAACAUGAGGAAAGCUUGCUUUCCUUGAUGACGACUGGCGCACGGGUGAGUAACGCGUAUCCAACCUUCCCAUAACUACGGGAUAACCCGUUGAAAGACGGCCUAAUACCGUAUGAUAUCGUUUGCUGACAUCAAAUAACGAUUAAAGGUUUAGCGGUUAUGGAUGGGGAUGCGUCUGAUUAGCUUGUUGGCGGGGUAACGGCCCACCAAGGCGGCGAUCAGUAGGGGUUCUGAGAGGAAGGUCCCCCACAUUGGAACUGAGACACGGUCCAAACUCCUACGGGAGGCAGCAGUGAGGAAUAUUGGUCAAUGGGCGAGAGCCUGAACCAGCCAAGUAGCGUGCAGGACGACGGCCCUAUGGGUUGUAAACUGCUUUUAUGUGGGGAUAAAGUGCGUGACGUGUCAUGCAUUGCAGGUACCACAUGAAUAAGGACCGGCUAAUUCCGUG
RNAcentral lists this ribosomal RNA (490 nucleotides) under uncultured bacterium. Its description in RNAcentral is "partial 16S ribosomal RNA". It matches the Rfam family "Bacterial small subunit ribosomal RNA", at positions 28 to 507 of the family's 1533-position model. The record is from RNAcentral.